This 254-nucleotide ribosomal RNA is filed under the name uncultured bacterium. RNAcentral describes it as "partial 16S ribosomal RNA". It matches the Rfam family "Bacterial small subunit ribosomal RNA", at positions 524 to 776 of the family's 1533-position model. The record is from RNAcentral.
UACGGGGGGAGCAAGCGUUGUUCGGAUUUACUGGGCGUAAAGGGCGCGUAGGCGGCCACUGCAAGUCGGUUGUGAAAUCUCCGGGCUUAACCCGGAAAGGUCAAUCGAUACUGCAGGGCUAGAGUGCAGAAGGGGCAACUGGAAUUCUCGGUGUAGCGGUGAAAUGCGUAGAUAUCGAGAGGAACACCUGCGGCGAAGGCGGGUUGCUGGGCUGACACUGACGCUGAAGAGCGAAAGCGUGGGGAGCAAACAGG